UCCCUGUGUUUGUGUGUGUAAUGAUGG
Molecule: non-coding RNA, 27 nt
Filed under: Mus musculus (house mouse)
Lineage: Eukaryota; Metazoa; Chordata; Mammalia; Rodentia; Muridae
Source: RNAcentral